GUGGGUAUAGGUCAGUGGUAGAGUGCAUGCUUAGCAUGCACAAGGUCCUGGGUUCAAUCCCCAGUACCUCUA
Molecule: transfer RNA, 72 nt
Filed under: Camelus bactrianus (Bactrian camel)
Lineage: Eukaryota; Metazoa; Chordata; Mammalia; Artiodactyla; Camelidae
Also listed under: 1 other name
Rfam family: tRNA
About the family: Transfer RNA (tRNA) molecules are approximately 80 nucleotides in length. Their secondary structure includes four short double-helical elements and three loops (D, anti-codon, and T loops). Further hydrogen bonds mediate the characteristic L-shaped molecular structure. tRNAs have two regions of fundamental functional importance: the anti-codon, which is responsible for specific mRNA codon recognition, and the 3' end, to which the tRNAs corresponding amino acid is attached (by aminoacyl-tRNA synthetases). tRNAs cope with the degeneracy of the genetic code in two manners: having more than one tRNA (with a specific anti-codon) for a particular amino acid; and 'wobble' base-pairing, i.e. permitting non-standard base-pairing at the 3rd anti-codon position.
Source: Rfam by way of RNAcentral